UGGGUCUCCAGAGAGCCACUCACCCCACAGUAGUCAUUUUCCUUAAAACAAGGCUCUCUGGGUACCCCGGGCAGCCCACCACUUGCCCUACCAACAGGAAUAUCCUGGAACACUACCCUCACCACUCCCACACACAGCAGUGACCUGAAUGCUUGCUUAGCACCAUCCCAGAUGUCAAGGUUCGAGGGCAAACGAAACGAGUGGGUUUGGAAACCCGAGGAAGCCAGGGCUCAUAAAGAGAUGAGGAAAUGGGGCCAGGGAUCGAGUGAAGGCACUGUCAUCCCCAAGCACAAUCAAACCGAGAAGGAGUUUGCCAGCCCAGCAGAUGAGUAAAACCUAAAGUUUGAGGAAGGGCAGAUGCUUCCUAUUGUGACUAGGGCCAGGCACGCCCAAAUCGUAGGCCACCUCAUGGUUUCCAAGAGGGAUUGGAGACGUAUAAAAGGUGUGCAGUCUCAGAGCAUCCCCAAAGCCUCAGCAUCUCCACGUUCCAGCCACUGGUGAACUCGGUGCACAUCCAGACCAGAAUGUAUCAUCAAACGCAGAAGCUGUGCUGCCCCCCACAAAAGUAUUGCUGCCCACCAUCCCAGCAAUUCUGCCCCCCAACAAAGUAUUGCUGCCCUGCACCACAGCAAUACUGUCCCCCAUCAAAGUAUUGCUGCCCCUCACCCCGGCAGUGCUUCCCACAACCAAAAUAUUGCUGCCCCACACCCCAGCAGUACUGUCCCCCUCCCCUGUACUACUGGCCCCCACCAAAGCGGUGCUAGACCCCCCUCAGAAUGCCAAGCAGCCUUGCCAGCCUCCACCCACGUGCAAGGUACCCUGUGUCCCCAAGUGCCAACACAAGUGCCCCCGCCCUCCGCAAUGCCUGAUGUCCAAGCAGAAGUCCUCCCUGGCCAUGGAGUCUGAGGCCAAGCUCCCUGGAGAACAGAGACCAUGAAGCCCAUUGUCCUCUCUCAGCCAGCCAGCUGUCAGCACCACUCUCCUCCGGCUUCUGGAGGCAGCCACACUCCGGGAAAAGCAGCACCAGGUUGGCAGCUUCCUGGAUCAAGAUUUCAUAUUAAUUAGCAGCUGCAAGUUCCAUCUCAGAAAAGGAUCUCUUUCUAAACCAUCUAAUCUUCUCUGCUGCCUUGUAUCGCCUUUGCCCUGUCACUUCUUGGAAACUUAAGCAGCGUGGCGCGACAUCCGUUCCUAGCACCCUUCGUUUCUGCUCCAGUUUUCCCAACUAUUACACACAAUUCCUUUGGCAUGAAUGUGUCUGUGCAUUAUUUGGUCAUCUUGCAGGUGUGAAUUCUUGCAGGGUUUCUAUCCUGCUCCUCAAUGCGGCGCCCUUGAAGGGCUGGGCAUGAGGGUCCAGGUAGAGGAAAAGGCACUGGGAGAUGCACUUUUGAGCUGAGGGACAUUUUCCAUGGUCCUGCCAGGGUGAGGAAGGAGAUGGGCACGUGUCCCUCAUGGGGCACAUCCCCACAUCCCUGGAAAAUGAGAACAGCCCUUGGAGAAAGGGGGAGAUUUUGCCCGUCUAGAAAACGGAGGUGGAGAAAGAGUAAGGGAAAAUCAGCCAGCAGCUAAAGAGUAGAGUAGAGGCAAAUAAAUGGAAAUUCAGAGAACACUCCAAGGGCGUGUGGUCAAAAUGAAUUGAGGACCGGGCCUGAAAAACUCUCCCAAUAGUAAAAAAAAGACCAGAGUUUCUUCAAGCUAAACAAAUGUGUAAGUAGAAGCCAGUCUAUGUAAAAAUCAUACCUCCAACGCACACACAUUUCCACUGUCAAUAUUUUAUUAAAGUCAGAGCCCCCAUUGUUUCUCCAGUUUAGGGUUCUCCAGGGCUAUAUUUGUCUCACUGGUCUCCUACAUUCCAUUCCCUAAAUCCUUGGGGCAUUAGGGGAACAUGAAACUUCAGGCCCAAAGGUAAGCCCAACUGCUUCUUUCUAUUAACAUCCACUACACACAUCCCUUUAGACCAAAUCCUUCUCUCACAGCGUAGUGCACAAAUUGAGGUCUUUGUUUCUCUUUCCUACACCUGCCUCCGGGCUACGAGGGAAUCACUGAAAACCCACAGAAGUACCCAAAACGAGCCAGAACAGAACAUCACAUAAACUAAAAGUGUGAAUUAACCCCAUCAUAGAUCGCAGCCCCUGUAGAAUUGAGAACUAGCUCAAGACAAAAGAUUUAGCAUCGCUUCCCUGCUGGCUGGUGUCUCCUUCCUCUGUCGUCUCUGUUCAUGCCUUUCAGCUAGGCUCCAUUCGUGUAUCUAUUUAUCCAUCACCGAUCCAUCCAUCCCCACCAGCAAUGCAUCCUUGCAUCCUUGGUAAGUACCUCCCCCUCCGUUUGCUUAGAAUGUGAUGUGUGCUGGGGAGGCACAGACUCACACACAGGGCUCCUGAACUGCUGGUUUAAUCCCCGUAUGAAGACCAAGCUGAGACCCUCAAGACAACAAAGCGAAAUUUUACCAGAUGACGUCUAGUUCACAGAUGACUUGGAAGCUACAGAUGUUUCAUUCCUUCCCUCAGAAUCCAGAGGAGACAGAGAGAGAACACUGAGGGCUCUUGAGGGAGGAAGGAGAACUUGGCCAUCUGUUUCGUCACGUCCUCCACCACAGGGCUCCCGGAAGAUGUCUGUCCAGGAAGAACCCCGGCAGAAGGGGGUUCCGAAUGGAAGGACAGGGGGAUGUGUGUAGGCAAGGAGGGGUACGUUCCAGGCCUGCGUACAGCAGCGGCCAAUGCGGCGAGUGCCAGGUGUUCCCAGGAGGACAGCCCUCCCAUGUCUCAGCCCCGGUCCCUGGUGGAGAGAGCACGUAGCCUCUGCAGCCACCGGCACCAGGUGAACACCACAGAAAGCUGGAGGGCGUGUGCAGUUUCCAGACCUAUGUGUCGUAAAUAUUUCCAACACAGCUUUGCAUUCAACAGAACCCAAGGAUGACACACCGAAUGAAUUGAAAAUCUCUAGACACCUUAAGUGAACUCCCUGAAAACGAGGAGCACUCUGAGCCAAUACCCCACUCUCAGAUACCUCAGUCCACACAGUCUCCAAAGAGCUCCUCUCUUGCCCCACAUACAUGACCUUGCUCGAGAACUCUCAUUUGGGUUCUUAUUCUCUAGUUCCUCACCCUCCCACAC
Physeter macrocephalus (sperm whale) is the source of this 3110-nucleotide long non-coding RNA. RefSeq lists it as uncharacterized. The transcript has 2 exons. The record is from RefSeq and is a predicted model, not a curated record. NCBI's taxonomy places the organism in Eukaryota, Metazoa, Chordata, Mammalia, Artiodactyla, Physeteridae.